AGAGUGAACGCUGGCGGUAGGCCUAACACAUGCAAGUCGAACGGCAGCACAGUAGGAGCUUGCUCUUACGGGUGGCGAGUGGCGGACGGGUGAGGAAUACAUCGGAAUCUACCUUUUGGUGGGGGAUAACGUAGGGAAACUUACGCUAAUACCGCAUACGCCCGUUCGGGGGAAAGCCGGGGACCAGCAAUGGCCUGGCGCUGAUAGAUGAGCCGAUGUCGGAUUAGCUAGUUGGUGAGGUAAUGGCUCACCGAAGGCGACGAUCCGGUAGCUGGUCUGAGAGGAUGAUCAGCCACACGUGGAACUGAGACCACGGUCCAGACCUCCGUACGGGAGCAGCGAGGUGGGAAUAGUU
This 355-nucleotide ribosomal RNA is filed under the name uncultured soil bacterium. RNAcentral's name for it is "bacterial SSU rRNA". It matches the Rfam family "Bacterial small subunit ribosomal RNA", at positions 26 to 366 of the family's 1533-position model. The record is from RNAcentral.